This is an RNA transcript of Calypte anna (Anna's hummingbird), 1991 nucleotides long. It is a transcript of the gene named cytochrome c oxidase subunit 7A-related protein, mitochondrial, with no coding region annotated. Lineage: Eukaryota; Metazoa; Chordata; Aves; Apodiformes; Trochilidae. The transcript is spliced from 4 exons. The record is from RefSeq and is a predicted model, not a curated record.
UAGGGGUCCUCCUCCUUGCCUGACUGAAAGUUGCCUCCUGCCUCCCUUUGAGCGGAGCGGACAUUCGAGGAGGAGAGGCGCUCCCAGUGCCUUACUAACGAAUCAUGUAUUCCUCCGGGUUUUUAUUACUUUUUUUUCUUUUCUCGUCCCGCUCCUUUGGCGGCUUCCCGCUCUCACCGCUUGUAGGCGAAGCCCUGUGUCCCGGCGGCCCUUGCACGUUGAGGCGACGCAAAGGAGCCGCCUGGGGUCCUAGCGCGGGAGGCGCCGCAGCCGGUGGGCCGUGAGUGAGAAGCGCGCGUUCCGGGGGCGCCCACGCAGCCGCCCACGCAGCCACCCACGCACCCACGCAUCAUGUACUACAAGUUCAACGGCGUCACGCAGAGGCUGUCCGGGGCCGCGGCCUCCGCCGCCUACAACCCCCAGGGAUUAAAAAGGCAGAAGCAAGAUAGGAGGGGAAUGUUAUCCCACAUUCUGUUCUGUUAAUGAAUAUUAGGGACUCAAACCAAUAGUUUCCACUGAAUCCCCAGCUCUGAUUUUUGGGACAACAACUAAACUUGCUUCAGAUUUACCAGCAGAUGAUUCUUUCUUGGGUAAAAACAAGGUGCCAGACCUACAGAAAGUUUUUCAGAGAGCAGAUGGAUUGCCAGUGCACCUGAAACGAGGAGUUCCAGAUAAGCUGCUUUAUCGGACCACGAUGGCUCUAACAAUAGGCGGGACGAUCUACUGCCUGGUAGCCCUCUACAUGGCCUCACAGCCCAGAAACCAAAAGUAAAUGGGCCACAACUUGUGGGACUUGUGACAUUUCUCUGAAGGACCUCCUGCAUGUAUCUCUUUGCACUUGCUUUAAUGAUAUAAUCAUGCAGGGUUCACUAUUCAGAUCAACUUUCUUGAAGAAAAUGUUUAUAAAUUGGUUGCCUUAUGUGUUCUAGAAAUCAAUAUAAACAGACUUAAAGACAUCAUCUUACCAUAUGGUUUUAUCUUUGCAUUUUUUGUCUUACAGAAGUGUAUGAACAGUUGAAAGUUAAGUUUUUCCUACUUUCCCUCCCCCAGUUAAACAAUGCCAGAAGUAGGACAGGACAAAUACUUGGGGUCUAUGCUCUAUGGUCCUUAGUGAAGGAUCCUGCUUGUUUCCAAAACAAAUAAUUUAAUUAUUAUUCUGGGAACCUGUUUCUUACAUACACAGCCCAUCUUACAUAAUCAAGUCACAGUGGAACCAUUCCAGAUGCUGUUAUAUUUAAAUAUUUGUACCACUGGUGGUAGGACAAAGGGCUUUUCUCCUUUAAGCAUUCAAAGUGGAUUUAUUCCAUAAUGUUAGCAUCACUGCAUACAGCAGGAUGCACCAGUAUCGUGGCAUCAGUUAUACCAAUUUUGGACUCUGUUUGUCAAACUAUUCUUGUCCAAUAAAGAUAACUUACAUGCAUAACAGAACAGGAAAGUCUUGAAAGUGUCAGACCACUUCAGCUGGAUUGGUGUGAAAUAAACAUCCUGGUACCCUUUUGUUGAAAUUCAACUUGUAGCUCUCAAGUCAGACAACUGAUUCAACUACCUUACUGUAAUCUUUUUGAGAUAGUAAUCCUCUGAAAACCCUCUCUUGGAACUGAUAGGGUGUGAAUAGGUUUUGGUCAAACAGGUUGGUGUCAUAGCUCAGCUGUGUAAUAUUUUCAGUGCAGGUGCAUAUCUAUAUGUGUACACAUAUGCACACAUUUCCUUUGCCAUGUGAGUGGAAGAGAAGGAAGCCAAUAAAAGCCUUCAAUUAGUUGUCUUUCCCAUGAAACACAGCCUUUAACUGCAGGUUUCACACAAGUCUUCACAGAAAGCAUCCUCUAAUUCAGUAGAUCCUCUGUCUAUGAAUAGCAGGUAUCACUCUGAUCACACAGGUUUUGAAUAAGCGUGAAUUCACUGGCCUCUCUAAAACCCAUUUGUCUCAGAACUGUGGAUAAAUCACUUUUCAUGUAAAUAAGGGAAGCAGUUAAUAAAGGACCCUAAAAUUC